GAGUAAGGAUCGGUCUACCGAAAAGUCUUUCGAUCGAAAGUUUAUUCAAUAGAAAGUUCUCUGCAUCGAAGAGUCACUCGACCGAAAAUGACGCCCACUUUCUCCUGAUUGGCCAGAUUGGUCGGAACGAUUCGGAACGACUCGGAACUGGCACUCUUUCAUCUUUGUCUUAUCAUUUCUGAAAUUUGACAGAGAAUUUGGACAUUUAAUUCUGCAGUACCAAAACGGUUGAUUGUUUACAUAACCUUUAAUCUGGAAAUUUUUCGACUUUCCUCAAAAAUGAAAUCAAUUUGAAUAAUCAUUUCGACGAAUCAAGUAGGACCAAUGAUAAUAUGAUGAAAUGCAUUGAAAGUGCUCUCUAGGAUACAUUCACUGAUCAAACGGAAUAUAUUUUCUAUAUAUAAUAAAAGUAGUGUUGAAUGAUCAAAAUACUGCAAUAUUCUGUAUUUGUUUAUAAGAGAGGAGUGUAGGGCAAGAGAACCUCACUUCUCAAAUGUACCAAGAUUUUCGAAUUAAAUGAGAAUGUGAUGACGAUUAGUUAUAAUGUCAUCUUAACAUAUAAAUUCUACUGAUUGAGGCGAAUAGGGCAGUUGGCAAUCAGAAAAUUUUAAGACCUAUCACAUUCAAUGCUGAUUUUUCUUAACUCGAAUAAAUAAUAUAGAUUACAAGAGACUAAGUACAAACAAUGAGUAUAAUUUACAAACGAGCCAUUCAAGAGAUUCUCCUCAAACUAUGGUUUCAGAAAGUGGAUAAUAAAAGGACAGAUGGAAUAACAGAUACCUGUGAAAUCAAUAAAAUUAUUGAGAAAAACAGUGAACUGCUGAUAUAAGCUUUGCCGAUAAGAAAUAUUUCAAAAUUGCCUAAUACAGCAAUGAGAAUCAUACCAUAUGUCAAGUCAUUGUAUUGGAAUAAUUAAAUAUAAACUGUAGGUUGAAUUUUCAA
Molecule: long non-coding RNA, 942 nt
Organism: Coccinella septempunctata (seven-spotted ladybird)
Lineage: Eukaryota; Metazoa; Arthropoda; Insecta; Coleoptera; Coccinellidae
Exons: 2
Source: RefSeq, a predicted model, not a curated record